GCCCGUUUUACCCGCGGGAAAGCCGAGGCCCGGUGCUGUAUUCUGCCGCCCAUUUUACCCGCGGGGAAGCUGAGGCCCAGUGCUGUUUAAUAUCUUACUCAUGUUCACUUGAUGAGAAAGUGACAGAUCUGAGACAAACCCAGAUCGACAGAAAAGAAAUGAGUCAACGAUGGUGCAGAAAGGGACCAGCUUGACGAAGCUUCUGCUUUUGUGACUGUCUCCUAAUGGGAGAAGUGAAAUUCUACCUCACUUUUUUAAAAGAAGAGCCUGGAAUUGGCCUAUCCGUCUUUUUCCCCGUUGGAUCACAGAGCAGAAAGGAAGGUGGGCGUUUGUGUUCUGGGUGUUGUCCACGCUGGACGUGCCAGCAUCUCCCACUGAGCCAGAUGUUCCAGGGCUAAGGCCAGUUUCAUUUGAAGGCACAGCCUUACUAUAUCAUAUUAAUCUGAUGCCAAGUUUUUGGAUGUUAUGAGCAACCACCUCAUUUAUUUUUUGUGGUUGUUUAACCACAAUGAGUAAGGUGAGAAAACUGUGAUGCGGUCGACUGGCACCUAGCAUUGCCCCCAUCUGGAACAUCUGCAGCCUAGAUCUGUUCUGAUGAAGUAGAAGCCGCAGAUCUUAUCCUGAAACAGGCCAGGUGCAAGUGUCCUCUUAGAAGGGAUCAACCAUGGGAUGCGGCAUUAAGAGAAGAGAGAAGGACAUCCUUACAACUGUGCCUUUCUUUCAACUCAGUCGUGCGCAUUAGGCUUGUAUCAGUUAAAGUGCAGGCAAGAAAUUUCAAGCAGAAAGGGAGUCAGGUGCUCAUAGCAUUGCUGGCAGAAUUGAGAGCAGCGGGAGCCAUGGGAUGGGGGUGCUGCCUGGAAAUCAGGAAACUGGAGAAGCCUGCUGGAACCUGCUGAGGAACCCAUCACUGCAGCAAGAGACUGAUGGUGGACUGCAGGGGCCAGGAAGGUGCAGGAAGCCCCUGCUGCUGCAGGAGAAAGGAUGAAGGAUGGUUAUCUUCCACCUUCCAAAUCUCACAGGAACACCUCUUCUAGGUGGAAUCCAAACCAGAUUCCUUCUGGAAAGGGAUUCUGGAAAGUGUAGUUCUUAUGCUUCCAGCCUCUGAGAUAAGCAAGGACAAUUGCUGGAGGCGAGGGUGUCGCUGAAUACCAAGGAAGGAUAGCAGGUGUAGUUGCCCACAUGGCCACUCAGCAUCCACAUGGACAUCCCACCCAUGUUAAUUUCCAAAGAGCCAUCACAGAAACAUCAUCAUGCUUCCUCACAAAGAAGAAAUGCUCACCUCCACCCCAAUAGAAAGGGUCCAGGUAUCCAUCUCUGAGUGAUGGUCACCCUCCAUAUUCAGUAAAAAACACCCUCGGAUAGACUGUGGUUGAAAGACUAAACCUUUAGGUUAGCCACAGUCAAUAUAUCUUAUAUAAAAUAAGAGAGGCGGGGAGAGCAGGGGAAAGAGAUACUGGGUUAUGUGUGUAAAAACAUACACAAUAAAGCAAACAAGAAACGCUG
RNAcentral lists this long non-coding RNA (1503 nucleotides) under Homo sapiens (human). RNAcentral describes it as "MIR646 host gene". Lineage: Eukaryota; Metazoa; Chordata; Mammalia; Primates; Hominidae. The record is from RNAcentral.